Molecule: long non-coding RNA, 346 nt
Organism: Peromyscus californicus insignis
Lineage: Eukaryota; Metazoa; Chordata; Mammalia; Rodentia; Cricetidae
Exons: 2
Source: RefSeq, a predicted model, not a curated record
AUAGUAUUUACAAAUUAUUUCUAAAUAGCAUUUAUAAAUUCCUUGCAAAGACUGAAAUACACUAAAUUAUCACUUUACAGCUCUGUGGAUAGGGCCUUCCAGAUUCUUUUCGUUUUAUGUACUGGUUGUUCCGAAGAAGUGUGAUUUAAACAAAGAAAGGACAGCUCAGUCUAUAAAGGUACUUGACACCAAGUGUGAUGACUUAAAAAGUUUGGUCCCUGGAAGCCACAUGGUGGGACCUUCCUUCCUCGGGCUUCCUGGUAGCUAAUACCUGAGGCAUGCUAUCCUGCCAUAUGCCAUUAGAUGAAAUUUGUACUCAUCAACAUAAAGUAAUUUUGUACGUGUA